GACGAACGCUGGCGGCGUGCCUAAUACAUGCAAGUCGAACGCACUCUCGUUUAGAUUGAAGGAGCUUGCUCCUGAUUGAUAAACAUUUGAGUGAGUGGCGGACGGGUGAGUAACACGUGGGUAACCUGCCCUAAAGUGGGGGAUAACAUUUGGAAACAGAUGCUAAUACCGCAUAAAACCUAAACACCGCAUGGUGUAGGUUGAAAGAUGGUUUCGGCUAUCACUUUAGGAUGGACCCGCGGUGCAUUAGUUAGUUGGUGAGGUAAAGGCUCACCAAGACCGUGAUGCAUAGCCGACCUGAGAGGGUAAUCGGCCACACUGGGACUGAGACACGGCCCAGACUCCUACGGGAGGCAGCAGUAGGGAAUCUUCCACAAUGGACGAAAGUCUGAUGGAGCAACGCCGCGUGAGUGAAGAAGUUUCGGAUCGUAAAACUCUAGUGUUUGGGAGAAAGGUAAUAGGUUAAUCUGAUAGUAACUGAUCAGGUAGUGACGGUAUCCAACC
RNAcentral lists this ribosomal RNA (504 nucleotides) under uncultured bacterium. RNAcentral's name for it is "bacterial SSU rRNA". It matches the Rfam family "Bacterial small subunit ribosomal RNA", at positions 28 to 505 of the family's 1533-position model. The record is from RNAcentral.